GGCUCCGCCCCGCCCCUUUCCUCCGCCUCCCGUCGUUCCCUAGCUCUGGUCUCAGCGCGGCCCGUUGUUAUGACGACACGGUCGUAAAUCCGCCAUCUUCCUGCGGCGCGUUGCGACAUGGAGGGCGCGAUGGCAGUGCGGGUGACGGCCGCUCAUACGGCAGAAGCCCCGGCCGAAGCCGGGAGGGAAGUGGGCGAGGGCGGGGUCGCGGAGGCAGCGGCGGUAGCGGCCUUGGCCCCUGGCGGCUUUCUCGGCCUCCCGGCGCCCUUCAGCGAAGAAGAUGAGGAUGAUGUGCACAGAUGUGGUCGCUGCCAGGCGGAGUUCACAACCUUGGAAGACUUUGUGCAGCACAAGAUUCAGAAGGCCUGCCAGCGAGCCCCUCCAGAGGCCCUGCCUACCACCCCUCCCACCACCUCGCUGCUGGGCCAGGAGGUGGUGCCGGUGGCGACUGGCCCAGAGGAGCCCAUUACCGUGGCCCACAUCGUGGUGGAGGCAGCCUCUCUGGCAGCAGACAUUGGCCAUGCACCAGAUCUCAUUGGUAAGCCAGGAAUGGCCUUGAUUGGCGGCGGGCAUAUCAAAGAGGUCAUUGUGGCUGCUGAAACAGAGCCAGGAGACAGUGAGAUGGCAGAGCCCCCAGGCAGUCCCCACCGACAGGGGCUGGGGCUUACUGGGGAGGGCGAGCAGGCGCAGGUCAAGCUAAUGGUGAACAAGGACGGCCGCUACGUGUGCAUGCUGUGCCACAAGACCUUCAAGACGGGCAGCAUCCUCAAGGCCCACAUGGUCACCCACAGUAGCCGCAAGGACCAUGAGUGUAAGCUCUGUGGGGCUUCCUUCCGCACCAAAGGCUCACUCAUCCGGCACCACCGUCGGCACACAGACGAGCGCCCCUAUAAGUGCGCCAAGUGUGGAAAGAGCUUCCGGGAGUCAGGUGCGCUGACCCGGCACCUCAAGUCUCUUACCCCAUGCACAGAAAAAAUUCGCUUCAGCAUGAGCAAGGAUGUGGUUGAAGGCCAAGAGGAUGUACCUGCAGGAUCUGGAGCCUCUACUGUGGGGACAGUUACAUCAUCAUCGGCGACAGGGGAGCCUAUGGAGACUUCGCCUGUGAUUCAUCUGGUGACAGAUGCUAAGGGAACUGUCAUCCAUGAAGUCCAUGUCCAGAUGCAGGAAUUGCCCCUGGGCAUAAAAGCCCUGGCCCCAGAGCCCCCAGUCCCUGAGGAGCUUCCAUGCCCGGGUGAGGGCAGCCGUGAGAACCUGCUGCGCCAGGCCAUGCAGAACUCCGGCAUCGUUCUGGAGCGGGUUGCUGGGGAGGAGGGUGCCCUGGAACCAGCCCUGCCUGCUGGAUCUAGUCCCCAGCCCUUGGGAGAUGGAGCUCCAGAACUGCCGCUGCUGGAGGUGCAGCCGAUGGAGACACAGGUGGCCAGUGAGGCCUCAGCUGUGCCCAAGACCCACCCAUGCCCUCAGUGCAGCGAGACCUUCCCGACGGCAGCCACCCUGGAGGCCCACAAGAAGGGCCAUGCAGGGCCGAGGCCGUUUACCUGUACACAGUGUGGCAAGGCUUUUCCCAAGGCUUAUCUGCUCAAGAAGCACCAGGAGGUGCAUGUGCAUGAGCGCCGCUUUCGCUGUGGGGACUGUGGAAAACUUUACAAGACCAUCGCCCAUGUGCGUGGCCACCGGCGUGUCCACUCAGACGAGCGGCCCUACCCUUGUCCUGAGUGUGGCAAACGCUACAAGACAAAGAAUGCCCAACAGGUACACUUCCGGACACACUUGGAGGAGAAGCCACAUGUGUGUCAGUUCUGUAGCCGCGGCUUCCGGGAGAAGGGCUCGCUAGUACGGCAUGUGCGCCACCACACAGGCGAGAAGCCCUUUAAGUGUUACAAGUGUGGCCGUGGCUUCGCGGAGCAUGGCACACUCAACCGGCACCUGCGCACUAAAGGGGGCUGUCUGCUGGAGGUGGAGGAGUUGCUGGUGUCUGAGGAGAGCCCUGCAGCAGCCACCACUGUCCUUGCAGAGGACCCACAUACUGUGUUAGUGGAGUUCUCAUCUGUGGUGGCUGACACCCAGGAGUACAUUAUUGAGGCCACUGCAGACGAUGCUGAGACCAGUGAAGCCACAGAGAUCAUUGAGGGCACGCAGACAGAGGUGGACAGCCAUAUCAUGAAGGUGGUACAGCAGAUCGUGCACCAGGCCAGUGCUGGGCAUCAGAUCAUCGUGCAGAAUGUGACCAUGGACCAGGAGGCAGGGCUGGGCCCAGAAGCAUCUGCUGCUGACACUAUCACCAUCGCCACUCCUGAAAGCCUGACAGAGCAAGUGGCCAUGACGUUGGCGUCAGCCAUCAGUGAAGGCACUGUGCUCACAGCCCGAGCGGGUGCAAAUGGCACUGAACAGGCCACAGUGACCAUGGUGUCAUCAGAGGAUAUUGAGAUUCUUGAGCAUGCCGGUGAGCUGGUCAUUGCCUCACCAGAGGGUCAGCUGGAGGUGCGGACUGUUGUUGUCUAGCAUGGAGUCCUGUGGGUCCCUGCUGGGCUGGAGUGGGGUCAAAGACUCAGUACCCUGCCUGUGCCUGCAUGGCCUGGUAGAGAAGGUGGCACAGAACUCAGAUGUUCAGAGAAGGGAAGUGUAAAUACAGAGUUUUUCGUUGCUUUACAAUAAAAUAUGCAAACCUGCAGCUUGUGAUAUUGCGGCAGUGACAGCUCCAAGGCUGGCUCGUCACCUUGCAAGUUCCCUGGAAAUAGCAUUUGCCUGCCCAGGCCACCCCUAGACUCAAGUGCGUGUCCAUCCUGCCCAGGGGCUCUUGCCAGCCCUGGUGGCGCCUUGGUGGUGUGUGGGUGUCACUGGCAUGUUAACAGGCAGCUACUGCCCUGCCCUGCCCUGCCCAGCUGGACCUGUGACCUGGCUUCCUCAGGCCUGUGGUAUGGUGGGCAGAGGGAACCAGGUCA
RNA transcript from Otolemur garnettii (small-eared galago), 2939 nucleotides. It is a transcript of the gene named E4F transcription factor 1, with no coding region annotated. The record is from RefSeq and is a predicted model, not a curated record. Lineage: Eukaryota; Metazoa; Chordata; Mammalia; Primates; Galagidae. The annotation marks the transcript as partial. The transcript is spliced from 15 exons.